UAUGUUUGCUAGUAUUCUAAGAACCGAUGAUACAUAAAUCGAAGCGACCAUACACCCCUUAAUAUGACAUUAUCUCUUUUUGCAAUGUAAUAUGACACAUUUUGAUUAUUGAAUGAAUUUCAUUACCUUUGGUAGAACUUUGACAAGUGAGAAUUCUUAUUCUUCUUGUUGUAUCAAAAAUUGAAUUAACUUAUUAAGUUAUCUUGUGGUAUUUAUUCAUUCUUGCGUCU
This 230-nucleotide long non-coding RNA is filed under the name Carica papaya (papaya). RNAcentral's name for it is "long non-coding RNA (CPAP_LNC010041)". Lineage: Eukaryota; Viridiplantae; Streptophyta; Magnoliopsida; Brassicales; Caricaceae. The record is from RNAcentral.